UCCCUGAUAGCUCAGUUGGUAAAGAAUCUGCCUGCAAUGCAGGAGACCCAGGUUCAAUUCCUGGGUUGGGAA
This 72-nucleotide transfer RNA is filed under the name Odocoileus virginianus texanus. It matches the Rfam family "tRNA". Rfam says of the family: Transfer RNA (tRNA) molecules are approximately 80 nucleotides in length. Their secondary structure includes four short double-helical elements and three loops (D, anti-codon, and T loops). Further hydrogen bonds mediate the characteristic L-shaped molecular structure. tRNAs have two regions of fundamental functional importance: the anti-codon, which is responsible for specific mRNA codon recognition, and the 3' end, to which the tRNAs corresponding amino acid is attached (by aminoacyl-tRNA synthetases). tRNAs cope with the degeneracy of the genetic code in two manners: having more than one tRNA (with a specific anti-codon) for a particular amino acid; and 'wobble' base-pairing, i.e. permitting non-standard base-pairing at the 3rd anti-codon position. The record is from Rfam by way of RNAcentral. RNAcentral also lists the same sequence under 8 other names. Lineage: Eukaryota; Metazoa; Chordata; Mammalia; Artiodactyla; Cervidae.